This is a long non-coding RNA of Oncorhynchus keta (chum salmon), 1957 nucleotides long. RefSeq lists it as uncharacterized. Lineage: Eukaryota; Metazoa; Chordata; Actinopteri; Salmoniformes; Salmonidae. The record is from RefSeq and is a predicted model, not a curated record. The transcript is spliced from 3 exons.
AUGACUGUAUGGUGCUAUUCUUUCUCUCUCUCCCUACCUCUGUGAUAUAGGAGCUGGGUCAGCUAUAGGAGCCGAAGUCGGACUCCUUCAUGACCAGUAUCUGGACGAGAGGGGCCUGGAGCUGUCCUCAGAUGGGACAAAAGAUGGGCAGUCCUUUGACUGAAAGACAGGUUAAUACAGGGAUGUCUGAACUGGGAGAGACCUUGCACUCAACAUAACAAUUAAACAAGACACAUCUAUUACCUUUUAUCCUUUUGUUUUUAUUGAAUUGAAUGGUACCAUCAACAGGGGGAACUCCUGUCUUAUAUGGGACACCAUACAUGAAGGCUACUAACCGACUAGCAUCGUCCUGGAGUAAGCUUUGAAUUGGUCAGUAGCCUACAGAGUGGUCUCCUCCUGCAUCUCAUAUCUGCCUGUAGUUAUUGAACUCUGCCUGCUGGACCCAUGGGUGAGGUAAUCUCUGUCAUAUCCAAGAUGGAAGUCAUGCACUACACCCCUACUGCCACCUGAAUGCACCUGUCCAUAAUCUGUAAUACAUUACAUAGAAUGAAGGCACUUCAUCACACACUGGAGACUUGAAGACAGAACCUCACCUCAAGAGACUGAAAAUAUUUUGCAUGGGUCUUCAGAUCCUCAAAAAGUUCUACAGCUGCACCAUCGAGAGCAUCCUGACUGGUUGCAUCACCGCCUGGUAUGGCAACUGCGCGGCCUCCGACCGCAAGGCGCUACAGAGGGUAGUGAGUACAGCCCAGCACAUCAAGGAGGCUUUCUGCCAUCUAGGACCUCUAUACCAGGCGGUGUCAGAGGAAGGCCCUAAAAAUUGCCAAAGACUCCAGCCACCCUAGUCAUAGACUGUUCUCUCUGCUACCGCACAGCAGGUGGUACCGGAGUUCCAAGUCUAGGUCUAACAGCUUCUACCCCCAAGUCAUAAGACUGCUGAAUAGCUAAUCAAAUGCCUACCAGGACUAUUUAAAUUGACCCCCCUUUUUUUACGCUGCUGCUACUUGCUGUUCAUGAUCUAUUAUCUAUGCAUAGUCACUUUACCCCGACCUACAUAUAAAUAUUACCUCAAUUACCUUGACUAACCUGUACCCCCGCACAUUGACUAGGUACCGGAACCCCCUGUAUAUAGCCAUGUUAUUGUAAUUGUAUUGUUGCACUUUUAUUUUUUACUUUAGUUUAUUUAGUAAAUAUUUUUAUUAACUCUUAUUUUUCUUAAAACGACAUUGUUCGUUAAGGGCUUGUAAGUAAGCAUGUCAUGGUUGUAAUCGGCGCAUGUGACAAAUAACAUUUGGUUUCGAUUUGAUUUGUGCAUGUCAGUGUGUUAGACAGCCAAAUACUUAGAUUUGGUCAAAUAGACAAAUAUAAUGCCAUUAUAGUUUGGGUUAGACAGCUGAAGUUGUACUCUACACAUAUUUUUGUCAUAUUUCUGUCACACUGUCUAUAUAAGCACAUCAAUUUGAUAUUUACAGCAUCAAAUGUCUUGUCUUUGUAACACGAACACACUCAUCAUUCAUAGAUUUUUAGUUGAUAAAUGUAUCUACACUCAAGCUGGGUGAUGUUUAUGCAAUGUCCCCAUGUAGCCUACACCGGUUGUAGGGAUAUUAGUUCUGGCAUUUGUACCCCGGGAAAGAUUUAACGGAGGACAUAAGAGAGACGAGACGAGACAAAACUAGCCAGUUAUAGAAUAUUGCGCUGUAGGACAGCUGAGCUGACUCAAGAACGGGCCUUCAACUCGCAGUUGAUCCCAUUUCCAAGGUAACAUGUAUUUACAUGAUGCGAUGAAACAUUGAAACUAAGUUGCAAAAGCUACGAGGUGUUGUAGAACAAGUGUCUUAUGAAACACAUUCCUGACAUUGGCUCUUGCCAUAAUGGAUUUGACAUAGAAAUAUCAGCUAAAUAGCAUAGCCAGUUGCAGCUAUCACCAAGCUAUGCUAACUAGCUGUUGUCAGCUUUG